Molecule: long non-coding RNA, 3859 nt
Organism: Lolium rigidum
Lineage: Eukaryota; Viridiplantae; Streptophyta; Magnoliopsida; Poales; Poaceae
Exons: 3
Source: RefSeq, a predicted model, not a curated record
GUGGCCAGCCUACUGACCGAGCAGCAGAGCUGUGGUGCCGCCCUCUGAUCUUCCCAGUCCCCUUCCUCCCAUACCACCACUUUUCACUUCCCUUGAUUUAUUGGCUGGUUACAUGUUCAUCCUGGUGCUCCUCUUCUUUUCUAGGUAUAGAGAUAUAGAGACGUGUGCUUCCCAACUCAUAUCCCUCUGUCUCACUUUUCUUUUCUCACACAAAUCGGAUAGAUCUAGUGAUGGGAGAACCUACUUUCUUUGUGGUUUCCCCUGGGAUUGGAGUUCUCUAGCUGCAUAUAGCUUCAGUUCUCUAGGUCAGAUCUCCUCUUGGCCAAGGUAUCUUUGAUUCCAAGCCGCCCUAGGUUGCAGGCCACAUCUCCUUCUAAUUCUCUGGUUUUUUUCGUGCUCUUGAUGCUACGGCGGGCUGGCCAGUUGCAUCUCCCCAUGGUUUGUGCUUUUCACCUCCACAAUCAAAGAUGUACGUAUGGUGGUGUUGUUGGUGGUCCUGGCAUUGCUGCAACUGAUGGAUGGUUUCUUCUGGUGGAUUCCUACUGAAAAAAUUUAUUACUUCUGAGAGCCAUGCCAAUUCACAUGGCAAUUAUACAGUUGAUAUCAACAUGAUUGAUAUUGUUAUCCGGAGGCGGGGAAUUUCUGUAGGCAAGCAGACGACUAAUUGUGUUAUUAAUAUGUUCAUUUUCUUCUUUCUUUAUUGAAAGCUAAUUUCUUAUAUGCUGAGUGCACUCAAAAUCACAUAAAAGGUUAAUUUCACACAAAUGGCACUAUCCUCAUGGUUUCAUGUAGUCUAUUGUUCACGAAUCUGAAACAUGUAUAUGAGCCAAGAGCACAUUGGCAUUUUUCUUCGUCUAAUUUAUCUGUUUGUGUUCUAGGUACUUCAAAUUUUAAUGACAGCAACAAGGAGGCCGCCUCUAGCAAAGAUGCACAGACCAUCAAUUCUGCAUGUGAGACCGCCCAUCACACUGCCUCCGAAGCUCACGCCACAGUGUGUUUUUUCGCUUGUGUUUAUUCUUCAUUGCUCCUCUGGUCGAGCACUUGAGAGAACAUAUGAUGAUGCUCGCCAUUUGAUUUGAUUUGUGUGCAGGGAUGGCGAGCGGAAAGGCUGGGGACAUGAAGGGGGCCGGCGAACGAUCCCGGGCAGACAAGGGACACGACAAAUGAGGUUCUAAAAGGGACGGCCACAAGGCUAUUGUGCUUCUUGACCAAACUUCAUAUGGCCACCAUUCUCUUCAUAUUCACUUGGUAUGAAUCUGCUGAUAGUAUCUAUUUUAGCUCAUCGAUGGAUUGUUCAAUCACUUGCUUUGACUCUUAUAUAUGUUGAGAUCGUCUGUCCUAUUAAGUUUAAUCUAUAUUCGAAAUACAAAUAGUUUUAGGAAUGCAAAGUUCAUUAUGAUAGUUGAGGUUAAUGAUGCUAACUUUUUGAUGAUGUCACGGCCAAAUUCUCAUGCUGACUUGCAGUGACAAGUUAGUUACGACGCCUCAAUAAUAUUGAAGAAAUAUGUAUAUAUGUUCAAUUUUGGGCUGAGAAGUCCUUUUACCACAGUUAGUAUUGACUACAUUACUACAUAAUUCACCAGACUUUUGUUAGUUGACAUGUGCUUAACUUAUUGAGUAACUACCUCUCAUUCAGCUUAUUUGUGCAUUGUCAUAGUAAAUGAUAUAUUCCAAUGAUGUUUUUGAGAAGAGUAAACCAUUAUUAAAACAAGCCUAUGAUGCACUCUAUUUUACAAACUUCAAGCGGAAUCUCUACAUAUUGGUUCAGAUAUUUGUCAUUCAUAAUUGUAUUCAUAACCACCCACUCGAUCUGCAUGCAUAUUUCAGUUUCUAGGUUGCACCAACUGCAACCUUUAGAUAAUAUGGAGUAGACCGGACUAUCUGUUUGACUAACCUCUCUUUAUAUCAAGAGACACAAUCAAUCAUCGCAAAAAUAGUCAAUGAAUCGUCCAUUUUUUUGUGAAAAAACCAUUCAUCUGACUUAAAUGUAUGCAAUUGGUUAUGCUGGCUCGACAGUGUAGUUGUCUUGGAAAAUAAUUAUAUUUUUAAAAAUUACUAGCCUUGCUUACUGAUUAAUACACCCAAAUCCUAUUAUCCGAUUAUAAUUAUUACUUUAUUAUUAGUCAAAAGCAUGACUUGUCAGUAGUUGAUUGGCAUCCGAGUGUAGCCUUUCAAAGAAGCUUCCAGUCUAUUUCAGUUUCAUCCACUCCACAACUAUAUGUACAAAUUUCAAAAUAUUAUUCAUGUACUACUUUACAUAUAUAAUUUAAGGAUGAUAGUGUUGUGAUCAUUCUUUCUUCCCGUUUCCAAUUUCAUUUACAACAAUGGUAAUGCAUUAUUUUUAUUUUAUGUUCAUCCAUGCAACUUAAAACAUGUGUUCAAUUUGUAGGAUGCUAAACAAAAUUCAAGGUGCAAACAUACAAAGUUUUUGAUGGGUCAUAUUAUGAGUUUAAGUUAAAUCAACAUAUUCUACCUACACAGCUUUGGUCAUCGUUCACUGGGGUAGUAGGAGUAGACAUCCAAACCGUAUCUACAGAUUUACGUCAUUGAUAGACCUAUGUGUACUGGAAGUCCAAGGACAACAUAUUUCUAAUACGUCUCAUCUUAAAACAUACACUAUAGCUUUCAGUUUUACUCUUCUGUAGUUCCAAAUUGACGAAAAUGGCCAUGUUUAGGAGUUGAUUCACUACUAAAAAGUAAACAACCUUCACCAUAUUUGCUUUCAAAGCCAUAAUAUAUAUUAUGGUGGUAUGAAGGAAUCAUACUAUAACUGAAACAUCAAACCUAUUAUUAAUAGUCUCUAGGUGGCCCCUGGCCUUUAAAAAGAGAAUAUAGACAUACACAUAUGCACACUGUUUUUCUCCUCCCAUCUAUGUGACAUUAAUGAGUAACUUUAGUGAAUUGUUCCACGAUGUUUAUUUAUGCUAUAUUUUGUGGCAGGCAAUAUCCAUAUAAUGGUACUUAACAUGUCGACUUUUCACUUCCAUUGCAUCAUGUCCGAACAUCAGAACCACUCAAAUCUUAAUUUAUUGCAUCUUACUUGAGUGACAGAAAAUCAAGUUGUGCACACUUCACAUUUAUUGGGUGUGUCAACGGCGAUCAAAUUUUUUACAAGGAUUAAUGCAGGUUUCUACACAUGUAAUCAAAGUGUAUGGAUGCAUAACUAGCUUUGCUACUGAAAAAAUUAUGAAAAUGCAGGUUUCUGCACUGUUUUUGGCUUUUGUUACAAGGAUCAGAUGAUUAGAAAUAACAGAACAACAUGCUUUGUUUUCCAAUUGACUGAUUUGCAUGGUGCCACAUGUUCUAAUCUAGAUCGACUGCAUCCAUUGUUUUCCAAAGUAUUUGUCCUGUUCUUCUCGCGUCGUUUAGUGCAUAAGAAACCAUGUAGUUCAUUUCGUACAACAAAAUGCCAGCAUAUGCUCUCUUAGUUUAUUUCAAUUUAUGCAAAUUACCUUGCAAUAAUUAUGGAUGAUAUGGAGAUCAGGAAAUAAAGCAGAUAUUAUACAAGCCAGACUUCAUCAUUGUUGAGCAUGAGGGAAACUUGAUAGAAGGUUGUGUGCCAGCCAAGCGCACAGAUCAUUUCAUAGAACAAUUGAAGGAAGGGUCGAAAUGUUCAUCGUCGCUAACGUACGAAGGACAAAUAAAAUAAUAGAUCACCCGUAUAGAAUGGAGUUUCUCAUUGUACAAAGAUCGACGACUCCAUCUGCUGAUGAUUUCCUCUCAGUUUGCAUAUGAUUCACAUCCAUUUAGCGUGCUAGAGGUGCAUAUAGGAAAUAAUAUCUUCUAUCAGGUACUUGACGAAUGUUGCACAUGGUUUAUUGUUUGGACCCUUCAUUUUUUUCCUACCACAAAUAUUUCU